AUCACUGGCACGUGCAUGUUGUUAAUUUUGCAGCUGGAAGAGUUGAGAUACUUUCGUCAUUGCCCCUAAGGCGGGGCAACAACAUUAGUGCUGCAACGCGACGAUUAUCAAUGGCACUCCACAAAGCACUACAUGCAUAUAGAAUCCAUAUGGAUGCAGAUGUCUCAAGUUUUGAGCAUGUCCAACCACACCUUCUCCAACAGCUGAAUGGGUAAAGUAUUCAGAUAUUCCAAUGAAAACAAACAUUUCUAAAUAAUUUGAUUUAUCAGAUUUCUAUCAUCUAACACAUUUCUGAUGUGUUAUAGGUCCGAUUGUGGUGUCCUCGUUCUAAAGUUCAUGGAAUUUUGGAAUGGGGCGACCUUAACUACUUCAGUGGCAGAGGACAAGAUGAACAUGUACAGACUCCAGCUAGUGCUGCAACUAGUGCUCAAUGAACGCAACAGUUUCAGAGAUACAAUUAUGGUCGCAUGUCAUUUGUGACUUCAUAGUUCAUGAUAAGUUUCUUCCUAUCUGCUGCUACGUACCAAAAUGACCAAGGGUUGAUUGUAGUUUGUCCAAAA
Molecule: long non-coding RNA, 560 nt
Organism: Vitis vinifera (wine grape)
Lineage: Eukaryota; Viridiplantae; Streptophyta; Magnoliopsida; Vitales; Vitaceae
Exons: 2
Source: RefSeq, a predicted model, not a curated record